RNAcentral lists this unclassified non-coding RNA (541 nucleotides) under Hevea brasiliensis (rubber tree). Lineage: Eukaryota; Viridiplantae; Streptophyta; Magnoliopsida; Malpighiales; Euphorbiaceae. The record is from RNAcentral.
AUAUGAAUGAUCAGUUGUUUGAUUGUGGACAAGAUGAUGUUGACCGAAUUUCGAAUUGAUAUAUGUCUAAGUAGAUAUCAUGGGAUCUUCCUGAUUGCAUAGGUGAGAAUCUAUGACUUCUAUGAGAUUUGUAAAAUUAAGUUGGAAAUCAUCUUUAAUGGUGAUUAAUGAAUUAAGAAUUUUGAAGACAGCCACUGCAACCAGUUACUUGUUCUAUCAUGUGCAUACGUAUUCGCAUGACACAUUCAUUGAAACUUUUAAUAUUAUUUAUUUUGUAUGUUAAUUUACCGCCAGCUGUUAGUAUAUUGCGCAUUUUGGAUUACAUUUCCUUUGUUAAUCAUUAUUGCACUGUAGAACAAAGUGCAAUCUUGCAUUUUAGAUGUUGUGCUAUACUUUUAAAUUUGUCAUUUAGCAAAUGAUUUUCAUAUACACCAUAUGUACUUCUAUUUAUAUGUGUUAUUAUAACUUUGGAAUGUGAUUUAUAUUACCAGGCUGUCGUUUUCACUGACUUGAGCUUAGAGAAAGCAAUUGAAUUUGAUGA